This 309-nucleotide ribosomal RNA is filed under the name uncultured eukaryote. RNAcentral's name for it is "partial 18S ribosomal RNA". It matches the Rfam family "Eukaryotic small subunit ribosomal RNA", at positions 1470 to 1796 of the family's 1831-position model. The record is from RNAcentral.
CCCUUAGAUGUUCUGGGCGGCCCGCGCACUACAAUGGCGUGUGCAGCGAGUGCCGAAGUAGAGUUUUCCGAGGUAUUCUUGCAAUGCUCGUUUUGAUGGGGAUAGACCCUUGCAACUGUUGGUUUUGAACGAGGAAUUCCUUGUAAGCAUGGUUUAUCAUCCGACGCUGAAUGCGUCCCUGCCCUUUGUACACACCGCCCGUCGCUCCUACCGAUGAGUCGUCCGGUGAAGUUCGUAGGCCUCGUGAUCGCGGAUCACUGGGGGAAGCAAAAUGAACCUCGCGGUUUAGAGGAAGGAGAAGUCGUAACA